RNAcentral lists this ribosomal RNA (465 nucleotides) under uncultured bacterium. RNAcentral describes it as "bacterial SSU rRNA". It matches the Rfam family "Bacterial small subunit ribosomal RNA", at positions 8 to 507 of the family's 1533-position model. The record is from RNAcentral.
AGAGUUUGAUCAUGGCUCAGAACGAACGCUGGCGGCAUGCCUAACACAUGCAAGUCGAACGGGAUCCAGGCUUCGGCCUGGUGAGAGUGGCGGACGGGUGAGUAACACGUGGGAACCUGCCUUUUGGUUCGGGAUAACCGCGGGAAACUGCGGCUAAUACCGGAUGCUCCCGAGAGGGGAAAGAUUUAUCGCCAGAAGAGGGGCCCGCGUCCGAUUAGGUAGUUGGUGAGGUAAAUGGGCUCACCAAGCCGACGAUCGGUAGCUGGUCUGAGAGGAUGAUCAGCCACACUGGGACUGAGAUACGGCCCAGACUCCUACGGGAGGCAGCAGUGGGGAAUAUUGGACAAUGGGGGCAACCCUGAUCCAGCAAUGCCGCGUGAGUGAUGAAGGCCUUAGGGUUGUAAAGCUCUUUCACCGGGGAAGAUAAUGACGGUACCCGGAGAAGAAGCCCCGGCUAACUCCGUG